AUGCUCAGCCUCCUUACUAAGUGUGCCCUGUACCAUCUUGAGACUCUGCAGAGAGUCCCACUAGCAAGCAGAGAGUCCCACUAGCAAGCAGACUCUCACCAGAGGCAGCCCCUUGACUUGGACUUCUGAGCCACCAUAACUGUGGAGAGUCGGAUGCGAUCCAGAUCUUGAGCCCCUAGUGCAGGGAAAAAGGAUACAUAAGGUUCCUUUCCAAUCGUGCAUGUGCUGACUUCAGCCAACACUCUCAAGGAUGGCCUGCCUUCAAAUAAUUCAACAGUACUUAGGGCGGGCACAGUGGCUCAUGCGGUAAUUCCAGCACUUUGAGAGGCCAAGAAUAACAUGACUGGAGAACAUAUAUUGUGGAUCCCAUUCAACAGAUGAUGAAACCAAGAGUCUGAUGGACUUGCUGAAUGAAGGAUGCAGACGUUUGGACUCUAAGACCAGUAUGGCUUCCAUCUCAUCCUGUUGCCAGUUGUCCCUUAUGCACUCAAAAUCUCAAUUUAUAAACAGGACUGUCGGUUUCAUGAAGGCGUGUCUCUGUGAUGUUCAUUAGUGCCACUUGUGCCUAAAAUGAGUGAAGUUAGGGAGCACUACAC
Molecule: non-coding RNA, 596 nt
Filed under: Pongo abelii (Sumatran orangutan)
Lineage: Eukaryota; Metazoa; Chordata; Mammalia; Primates; Hominidae
Source: RNAcentral